CCCCAUUGGCUUGGCCCUCUCUAGUUCCCGACUUCCUGCCCUGCCCGCGCCACGUCACCGUAUCCUCCAUCUCCGCUGCACCACCGCAGUCCUUCUCCUGCCCCUCCACUGGAACCAACCGGAGAACACCUGGAAGUGGAGGAAAUCCCCGCCUGUCUCUCUACUGGAUCUGGAUCGGCUCCCGUGACUCUUCCUCCCUCUGUUGAUCCGGCAUGGAGGUCAAACCUGGCGUCAGUUUGUCUUAGCGGAGCGGCCGUGUGGUGGCCGGUCUACGGCAUGGCUCAUUGGAGGUAGCAGCGACAGCGGCAUCGCAGUUUCCUUCCCCGUCCAUGAGGCACACAUACUGGAACACGGCGGUCCAACCAACCUUUGGCCUCCGCUUCUUCCUCCCCGACGGUGCUGUGGAACCAACGCUGGGUUCCGCUACCCCUGACCGUGGCCUAACACGCACGAACUGAAGAUAAGUUAUUCUAUUUCUUCCUUAAAGUGAGAUCGUUUGCUUCUCUGAUCCAGUUCUAGUAAUUUGUACAAGGCCUUAGCUUGUUGUCAGGGAGGAACUUUCAUCUCAUUGCUAAAACUUGGGUAAACUGUGGGCAUACAAAAUACAUCUUUGUUUUUGUUGCCUUACAAACAUGGCUGUGAACAAACCGAAUGUUGGCAAACAAUCGUAUAUCCAUUUUCACUUAUUAUGAUAUUUCUGAAAGUGAAAGGGACUAAGGAUAGCACAGAGAGCAGAGAGCACACGGGUUAUGUUGGAAAAAUUGGUCGAAGUUACAAUGCAUUAGCUGGCAUAAAUAUAGCACAACUAGCAUGCCUAGAUGCACACAACGUUGAUGGUAAGAUAUGCUUGACAACUACCUAACAGGAUCAGAUUAUUCAUUUUGUAAAUGUAAAAAAAAUAUUAUUGUCUUCACAACGUCCACCACUGAAUAUCUCUAUGUAUUUCUAGACCUUGAUUUGAUAUUAAAAAGACAAUCCAAUUUAUCUUCACGCUUAUGUCCUGGAAGGUUUCAGGAUCUGUAUCUAUAUUCGUGAUUGCUACUGCAUGUGUUCUGACUCGGCUUGUACCUUCAUUAAAAUGAAGUAAUACUUAAGCUAUGUAUGAGUCUGAUUCGUGCAAGCCUUGUUCCUACUGCUGCCACCUUGUAUAAAUAUAUACUGGUUCAUGCAAUACUUGCUCCUACUUCAAACUUUUAGUCUGAACGUACCUAUAUAUACUUGCAUCAGACUAAAUUUGUAGUCUGAUUCGUGAAGUAGGAGCAAGGGUUGUUCCUACUACUGCCACCAUGUAUAAAUAUGUACUUGUUAAUUUCAUUUAACUAUUUUUUUCUGUCACAAAUAAUAGUACUAUGCUGGUCAAGUGGGCAGCGUAUAGAAUCGUCUUGCACAGAAGUAACAUGGAUAAUAUAAUCAAUGGGUUUAUGAUAGAAAAUCAUUUUUGUAUAUCCUGAAUGAAUAUAAACGAUGCAUGAUUAUUUCAAGUUGCACUUUCCUAUCUAUUAUCUCAUUGUUUAUCAAGUAUUUUCAUGUUUCAUAGUGCACUACAUUACAAUGGGUUUAUAUGGCCUCAACUACUGCUGCUAUAGUAGGAGUUCUGUGAUGUGUGUUUCGUCACUUUGUCAUUUGACACACUUUUCUUUGGGUUAAUUUUAAGCAACCUCAUGUUUAAUCUUGUUUUAUAGUAGAUACAAUGUUAUUCUCAUUUGUAGGCACUACAAGAUUUAAGAAUUCUGGACAUGUAAUUCAUUUUUAUAUUUGUUGCAAUUUUCUUAUUUCUACUAUCUAUACAUAUGUGCAAAUAUCUAAUAUUCUUGUUAAUAUGCUAGGUAAGAUUGGAUACUGUGCUACUUGGUGCUGCCCAUCACGGCAUGAUCGUUGCCAUCAAGAACGUCGAUGGCAAGAGCUUGAAUAACAACCUCGAUAGUUUAUAUGUUCUGUUGAUGUAAAAUGGAUUGUACUGGUUCAUAACUCUGUUGUGUGAUAUAUUUUGUCAAUCUAUGUUGUAUGUCAUCACUUUGUAGAUGAUUUUUUAAAUUGCUGUGUUGUAGAUACAUACAGAUGGCUAUGUUAAACUUUGUAAUGUUUCACACCUUGCAAAUAUUUUUUGUUGGGAAAAUUUGGCAUUAGGAUUUGUGUAACGCCCUUUAAAUUGGCCCUUAAAAACAUAGUUAAAUUCUGGCCAAAAGAAACGGGAUAAUGGGCUAAGCCAAAUUUAAACCGCCCUUUAAAUUGUGCCUAAAUCCAUGACGAAUUUCGUGACGGAAAAUAGUAUCCACGUAGGCAGCCACGUAAUUCAAAUUACUCAAUUGAAAAUCCUAUGUGGCGUUAGUCCAUGACAGAUUGUUCCGUCACAAAGGUUUGGGCCUGGGCGGGCCGGGGGCAG
This is a long non-coding RNA of Triticum aestivum (bread wheat), 2383 nucleotides long. RefSeq lists it as uncharacterized. The record is from RefSeq and is a predicted model, not a curated record. Lineage: Eukaryota; Viridiplantae; Streptophyta; Magnoliopsida; Poales; Poaceae. The transcript is spliced from 3 exons.